RNAcentral lists this long non-coding RNA (304 nucleotides) under Mytilus galloprovincialis (Mediterranean mussel). The record is from RNAcentral. Lineage: Eukaryota; Metazoa; Mollusca; Bivalvia; Mytilida; Mytilidae.
AAUACGAAUGUGCAAAGAUGCAUUCCCGGUGACAUUACGAUGGUGAGGAUGGUGAUACGAACUCAAUACGAACCCUCAACAUCGGACGCACCUUCGGGGAUUUUUUAACAUGUUAAAAAAUUUAGAACUCUUCCCGAAGUUGUCCCCGAAGUCUAGAAAAAGUGGCCGAUGGUUCUACGAUGGUUAAAGAUGGCACUACGAAUAGCCCGAUCUGGAUACGAUCAGUCCCGAUUUUGAAAAUUUCCAUUAUCGUGUUGCCAUCGGCGUAAAAAUCGGGACAGUGUGACGCGGGCAUUAACGACAG